CGUUGAUUACGUCCCUGCCCUUUGUACACACCGCCCGUCGCUACUACCGAUUGAAUGGCUUAGUGAGGUCUUCGGAUUGGCUUUGGAAAGCCGGCAACGGCAUUCUGUUGCUGAAAAGUUGAUCAAACUUGGUCAUUUAGAGGAAGUAAAAGUCGUAACAAGG
Molecule: ribosomal RNA, 163 nt
Filed under: Henningsomyces sp.
Lineage: Eukaryota; Fungi; Basidiomycota; Agaricomycetes; Agaricales; Schizophyllaceae
Description: partial small subunit ribosomal RNA
Rfam family: Eukaryotic small subunit ribosomal RNA
Source: RNAcentral